AAGCAGGCUCCAUGCACCGGGAGCCCGAUGUGGGAUUCGAUCCCGGGUCUCCAGGAUCGCGCCCUGGGCCAAAGGCAGGCGCCAAACCGCUGCGCCACCCAGGGGUCCCGGACACAGGGUUUUGAAUCAGAAACUCGGGGCCCCUUCCCCCAUCCUCCCAGGUCCAAAGCCUCGACGAUCUAAACACAACAUUCCGUUGCACAUUCUCGGGCCAGUUGUUCCCACCGCCGCCACAGCAGCUCCAGGUUGUCGAGAAUUCAACCCGGGAGACUAUCUCUGCCUCUUCCUCACAUCUUGCCGCUGGAAGAACAACCUUACGGCAUUGCUGACUCUUUCUGACCAAGCCUGACCGUCAGCACCCUGCUGUAGUGUAGCUGGCCCCUUCUCCCACACCCCUACCUACAUCAGAAAAUGUUCUCUUUCCGUAAGGGAGGCUCACAGGCUGGGGCUGGGGCCUAGUCUGGUGAGGAGGAAUGGAGGAAGGGUGCUCACAGAAGGGCAAACAAGGUGCAGCUGGAGCCUGAGGCUGCAUUAUGUGGCUUGGCUGGGAGGGGGGGGGGGUGGCAAGAGGGGGCGCAUUCCUUUGACCUAGUAUAUCAUGCCUGAGUCAAGAAAGAAGCACAAGACCUGCUAAAAGGCAAAACAACAUAGUUUGAGGAGACAGAGAAAGCAUCAGAAGCAAAUACAGGCCCUCAACCAAUAGGUUGAUACCCAUGCACAUUGUGUUAAGCAUAUGAUGAAUGACCUCUUUUGCACCAAAGGUGCAUCCACAAGAGCUGAGAAAGAGGUCUUCACCUGCCCUGGGACUGGGAUUUACAUCAUUGGCUCUUCCGGUUCUCAGGCUUUUAGACUUGGACUGAAAGGACAACACUGGCUUUCCUACGUUUCCAGAUGACAGAUUGUAGGACUUCUCAGCCUCCAUAAACAUGAACUGACCAGAAGCUGAGGAUUGAGUGGUACCUACAUCCCUGAAUUCUGCAUCAGCCGCGCUUAGUUCAUUCAUGUGGAUACAUUCAACAAAUGUUUCUGGCUGAAUACUUUGACACUGAGGAAUGACGCCCUCUGCCCAUAGAGAAAACUCUGAGAUUGUGAGGAAAAAAAUUGAGUGAGAAGAGUCGGUUCUUUAUUUUUAUUACAAAGCUCAAACCAAUAUUAAGUGGAAUGCCAACAGGGCAUAUACUAUAUAACAGAAAAGGGCAUCAGUGCAGGUCUACAUUAUUAUGAAAUAAAUAAAAGGCAGUUUUAUUCACACACACACACACACACACACACAUAAAGAACUUGUGAAAUAGGCUUUACACAACUGACCCAAAAUAAAAAUGAAAAAGCCCAAAUGUUUGUAAGGCAAAUAUAUUCAAUCUCCCCAAGAUUGCUGACUACUCAUCUGACACAUCCUAGAAGGGAAGGGCUUUAGGUAGGUCAAAUUAGAGGCAGAGGCUGGGCUGGAUGGAAGCCAAUAACUUGUAUUAUCAAAGUGAAUAUUACUAUUUUCACUGAUUUCAGAAAAAAUAGAUGGCUAAUAUGUAUACUUUGUAUAAUAAAUCUUAAUUUUUCCUAAAGUAUUUGUAAUAUGAAUAAGAGGCAGAUGUCUACAUGACUAAUCAGGGAAAAAAACCUAACAGCAAAAGGCUUUAUUAGUUAUUUUAAAUUUAGGUUGUGAAAGUUUAGAAAUUAAAAGAAAAAAAUACUUUUAGCAUGUUUGUGUUUCCAUUUGAUUCCUAAGUAAUUUUUAACUGCAUUAAGCUUUUCGUGGUUAACAAUCCCAGAAAGAUAUAUUGCUUACUCAGAUUUGCUUCUGAAUAAUUUCUGAUAAAUAAAAGACUGUAAUGAAUAAUUUGAAGAUAUCUACUUAAUAGAUGAUAGUUUUCUAAAAUUAUUACCAUAUAUUAGAAGGACAAAUAUUCUUACUUUUAUGAAUAAGACAGUUCUGAGUAAUUUCAAAGGCCAGAGCAUUAAAUUUAUUUAUUGUAAAUAUCUAUAUAUAAAUAUACACACAUUCAUAACUAUAAUUUAAAUAAUCAAAGAAUGAAUAAGACCCACAAAAAACAGUUUAUAUCAUUCUUCCUAGGAAAGGUUUAUGGAACUGUGCUUAAAUAGUCAAGAACUACAUAAACCUUAGCACUUACUCAGUAUUUAAAUUAGUUUACACAUUUAUUGUACACUAAAUACAUGAUAUUGUAAUAAACUUAAAUGAGUAAGAGUAAGUUAAUUUAGUUGCCAUAUAAUUGUCUCAACAAGGAAAACAUUAAAUGUGCUUUAUUGCCCAAAUUUAUACAUUAAACUAGCAAAGAAUUUGAACAAUUAACUGGUGUUUAAUAAAACAACUAUAGUGAGUUGAUUGGAUAUCAAUUAAUUGCCAAAAUUAGCAUGUUAAUUAGUAUUUAUUUUCGUAUAAUGGUAAUUAUCUAGGAGAUUGUUAAUUGAAAUACGUUAAGCUUUUCUUUUCUAAGAACAGAAUUUUAUUGAUAGCCUUACUUUUAGUAAUAUUUAUAUGGAAACAAAAUGGACAUACUUUAUACAAUAAAACUCAAGUACUAACAAAUGAAUUAAUAUUUAACCCCUUUAACUUACCGAACCUACUUAAAUAUAUGCUAUGUGGUAGUAAUUCCAUCUCUAUUGUUUAUAAGAUAGGCUCCUUUUAGUAGCUCAUCUCUCCCAAUGCGUAACACUUUAAAAGGUGUAGUUAAGUUCAAAGAGAGUAAAGAGCAAUAUUUGCUGUUCUUGCUUUGAUCCAACUUGGAUAACUUGUCCAAUGGUGCUGAUCAGUUAUUCCAAUUAAUCUUAAUAUCUAUGUUAUCACACAAAUUGUUCUCAUCUGUAAUUUCUAAGUACUCAUCACUGUGAGGAUGGAUGGACAGAUAGAUGGAUAGAAUAGAGAAAGAAAUAAUGGACAUAUAUAUAUAUAUAUAUAUAUAUGGAGAGAGAGAGAGAGAGUGUAUAUAUAUAUUAUGUAUAAUUACUUGUUCAAAAAUAUAUGAAAGAGUUUUUACAAAUCGUAUGAAAUUAUCACUCAGUACAUUUUUGUUGACCUGUUCAACAGAAACUUUUGAACUUACGAAUGUUUCUGAUCAUAGCACUCCUCUCUUUUUC
Molecule: long non-coding RNA, 3090 nt
Organism: Canis lupus familiaris (dog)
Lineage: Eukaryota; Metazoa; Chordata; Mammalia; Carnivora; Canidae
Exons: 5
Source: RefSeq, a predicted model, not a curated record